GAGGCUUUAGGGGGCAGGAAGCUGCGAGAAGGUGGCGCUUGCUUAGAAACCUGGACCCCUACUGAAUGGAUCUGCUGGCACCUAGACCUCAGAGAAAGGGGAACUGAAGACUGAAGUCUGACCACUGUUCUUUGUUGAAAAUUUCUUUCUCAGGGGCUUGGAGGGAUCACAUCUACAAUCCUGAGCUAAUAUUCUCUUAUGCUGUCCCCAAAAUUUAAACGAAGCUUCUCUUUCUUAACCCAUUGCAAAUGAGAAAAAUCUUGAAUCUCCCUAUGACUGUAAGCCCUUAUUUCAAGAUAUCCCGCCUUUUUAGGCCAAAACCAAAGUGUAACCUCCAUCUAUUGAUUUACAAUUUUGCCUGUAACUUUGGCUUUCCUGAAAUUUACCCCAGCCUUAAAAAAAAAAAAGAACAGAAAAAGAAAACUGCAAGGCAUCAGGGAGGUCAGAAUUUGGGCAUGAGCUGCCUGAUCCUCCUUGCUUUGCAUCUUUGCAAAUAGAUGCCUUCAGCUGUGCAUGAUGGCUCACACCUCUCAUCCCAGCACUUUGGGAGGCCAAGGCGGGAGGAUUGCUCCAUCCCAGGAGUUCGAGAUCAGGGGCAAAAUGCCGAAACCCUGUCUCUACAAAAAAUUUAAAAAUUAGCUGGGCAUGAUGGUGCACUUCUGUAGUCCCAGCUACUUGGGAGGCUGAGGCAGGGGGAUUCCUUGAGCCCAAGAGGUUGAGGCUACAGUGAGCCAUCAUCGUGCCACUGCACUCCAGCCUGGGAAACAGAAUGAGACCCUGUCUCAAAACAAAACAUUUGAAAAAUAACAAGUUCAGGUGCAGUGGCUCAUACCUGUAAUCCCAGCACUUUGGGAGGCCAAAGUGGUCGGAUCACUUGAGGCCAGUAGUUCAUGACCAGCCUGGCCAACAUGGCAAAACCCCAUCUCUACUAAAAAUACAAAAAUUAGCUGGGUGUGGUGGCUGGCAACUGUAGUCCCAGCUACUCCGGAGGCUGAGGCAGGAAAAUCACUUGAACCCAGGAGGCGGAGGUUGAAGUGAGCCGAGAUCACACCACUGCACUCCAGCCUGGGCAACAGAGCAAGACUCCGUCUCCAAAAAUAACAAAAAAUAAACACAUGCCUUCCUUCCUACUGCUGCACAACCUCACUGUGUCAGGCAGGCAUCUCUGGAUCCAGCUGGUUUUUGUUUUGCUGAGGCUCGGCUUCUUCCUGGAACUUUUUGAAACAACACUCAAGGGUCUCAAAUGGCUGACAUGAUGGUCUGUGACCUGAAAGUUGUUGAAUAGUUGGAGUGUUCUGCAUUCAUGUGGAAGAGGCUAAAGGAUGUUUGAUGAAGCACUAUGGGCUGCCCUGGAAGAGGACUGAAGAAGCAGCUGCAGGAAAGAAACGUCCACUCUGCUCCAGUCAACCCCACUGCUGGUGUCCUCUGCACUGCCUUGCACUCCCUGAAGAGAGCCUGGGCAACAGAGCGAGACUCCAUCUCAAAAAAAAAAAAAAAAAAAAAAAAAAAUUGGGGACUAUGUAUAUAGAUUUACUACACUGAAGCCCUCCAGCAGUCUAAGAACUGAUGCCUCUAACGAAGGAAAGGACUGCAUGUUUCUGAUGAAGCUACCAUGACCUACCAGAUUUCCAACGCCUGCCAAAAUUAAUCUAUUUGUCUGUGGUAGAAGAGGCCAUACCAUUGUGGCCCUUGAAACUUACUGUAUGAUGUUUUAUUUAGUGAACAGUUCACAUACCCAAAUGGUUGUAACUGAUACUGCUGAAUAUAUUGUAAGAACAGAAGUGUUAAGUAUGUAUAACACUUCUUUUGAUUGUAAGGAAUGUUCCCAGUGGGGAAAUGCCAUAAUUAAAACAGUGAUCGUGGGAUGAAUACACGAUUAAGAGCUUACCUUCAUAAUAGUAAAACAGUACAGGAUGCCAGAAGGAAGGGAGGAGAGGGGAUAAUACCACUAUACUGAUGAAGUAGCUAGAAGAAAGAGGAGUGCUUAAGGAAACUAUCCAGCAGGCUAUUGAGACUGACCUCUCAUUUGGAACAGUUCUAGUGAGCCUUUUCAGCUACAAGUGACGGUGACUGACAGUUACACUGAUUGGAGCCUGUGGCAAUAGGCAGUAAGUGCCAUUUAGGGUUUUGGGCACAGCAUUUGCCUGACACCGCUGCCUGGUAUACUCCAUUUAAGCAGCAAUUGUUGGCUUGUUAGUGAGUGCUUUUGGACACUUAGACACUAACAAAGAAAGCAUC
This 2238-nucleotide long non-coding RNA is filed under the name Pan troglodytes (chimpanzee). RNAcentral's name for it is "long non-coding RNA NONPTRT017396". Lineage: Eukaryota; Metazoa; Chordata; Mammalia; Primates; Hominidae. The record is from RNAcentral.